AUGAAUGAAUAGAAGGAUGCUUGAGUGAAGAAGUGUAGGAGUGAAUGAAGUUCACCUGGUCCUGGGGUUGCGGGGCAGGAAGCUUCUCCAGAGGGCCAGGGGGGCACAAUCCAACCUUGAGGCAGGGGCCUGGCCAAGAUGACCUUGGGAGAGGUUGAGGAGUGUAACUUGGGGGGAUAGGCCAGGGUCACUUUCCCCGCCCAUCCUUUAUGUAGGCAGCCCCGUGUCAUAGACCCCCUCUGUGUCCCCUGCUGCAGCAAAGUCUGAGAAGGUAGUUGCUGGGAGCUGUUGGCCUGGAUGGGCCCUCUACGCCCUGCUCGUGCCCCUCGGCCCCGGGGCCUGGGCUCCCGCUAUCCCAGCCAGGGCCUGGGCAGGCGGCGAUUUCGUCUCCGUCGCCUCCGACUGAGAACAACACCCCAGAGAAUGUUCAAGCCCAGCCGGCCGAGGUACCGGACCCAGUGUGGGAACGCUGCCAAUUUACUAACUUCCAGCUCCGCCUUUAGACAACUGUAUCAUCUGGGGAAACCACUCUUCUUCUGAGGAAAGACCCUUGUUUCCUGCGUGACUUGGCCACACAGAAACCCAGCCUUGGAGCAGCCAUUGAAUAUAUCUACUUCAGCCCUGUUGGUCUCAGCUUCCUUAUUUCCUUUGGGGGUGAUUCGGGGAACACAGAACUGAACUGCAGGCUGUC
RNAcentral lists this long non-coding RNA (691 nucleotides) under Phascolarctos cinereus (koala). RNAcentral's name for it is "lncRNA (ENSPCIG00000029024.2)". Lineage: Eukaryota; Metazoa; Chordata; Mammalia; Diprotodontia; Phascolarctidae. The record is from RNAcentral.